CUGCUCUUCAGUUUGUUAUAUCAAGGUUUGUUGCAUCAGUCACUUCAGGAGAUUGUCAUGUACGCCAGGAAAUUAGCUUGAUUCAAAGAUAGUACAAUCAGGCAUAGCUGCUGGCGUAGCUACCUGGACUAUGCAGUUACCUAAUUGGAAUUCACAACUAGUGUCUUCGGCAGUUCCAACAAAUCAAAGAUUUUGUAUAAAGCAAACCAUUUUUCCUAUUAGCAAACAUUAACUGUGUUAGUUGCAUAAGAACAGGACAAGGCGAGUGUUCUAUUUUGGAGUUUGUUAAGCCAUCUACAAAAAAUGAAUAACCCGAUUUAGAUUAAGGAGUGUUUACUAGUUGUGUGCUCAUACAAGUACAUGGUUUAGGUGUACGUGAAUCUUUAAAUCGUUCUUUUCUAGGACAAUUUCUGAGACUGUUUUCCUUUUACCCAAAGGUUUUGAAGCUUUGGGAGCCUGCGGCCGGUUCGACGGAUGACAUCAGCAAGCGCCGGCCCGCCUCGGCACAGCUGCGGGUGGUUAUAUGGUGGGCGGAGCACACGAGUGAGCUUCGAUGUUAGGGUACGGUGGCAAGCUAAAUCCUGAGUCCAGCUAGGCUUUUUUCGUUCAGAUUUUGUUACUGUUUUCCAUUCGGGAUUUCAUGGUGAGCAAACCUAGCAUUUGCAGUUGUUUGUUUUAGAAAUUCAUGUCCUGACAUCAAAUUUCGUUUGUAAGGUAAAUCCUGCCAACAAGUCGAUGCUAUGGGGUUACUAGUUCUCUUAAUUUUUCUAUUCUAAUUUUGUAUGCAAUUUAGAUGAAUACUGUCUAUUUAAUUCAGGUAUACGUUCCACAUGCUUGUGAGGUACACAUUUUGUAGGUCCAGAUGUAAGUGUUUGCUUGAUUUGUCGCUCAAGUUUCAUGUUCAAAUGAUGCUCCUUGACUUCAAUACAAUGUUGGUAUGUAGGAUGACUAUCUAUGCAACUUAUCAUGCACAAAUUAAAAAAUGCUUGGCUCCUCUUCUGCAUGUCUCCAAGGAAUAAUUUCUGAUGUAUAAUGAGAUAAUGAUUAUUUCUUUUUAUUUCUUAUCAUGCGGCUAGUUGCUACAAAAAAUUAACACAUACAUCACCACUUAUCAUUAAAACAAAAUCAUAUCUGCCAAGUUUCUACAUUCCGUCGAAGCUUGCAGAUUUACCAUCUAUUUUGGUACAUUAUUGAAACAAAUCGUAACCAUGGAUUCUAUAUGGAAGAUCGAAAUAUCAUUUUUACAUUAGGUUCAUGUACUGUAAGGAAUCGACUUUGUUCAUCUUCAACCCAUUUUCCUAUCUUGCAAAGCUGUCCAUUAAAGUAUGGUCAAUUUAUACUCUGUGACUUAAUACAUUUGUAACACUGUCAUAGUGCCAUUGACAUGCUCUUUUUUCACCCCAUUUAAUAUUGAUUCAUCUACAUCGUUAUAUGCAUGCUUUUGCAUACAUAACUUAUCCAGUCUGCUAUUGAUCAUUUCAAUUUUUCAUCCCGGCAGUACGCCGAUAGCCUAACUAGUCUGCUAUUGAUCAUUUCCAUUUUCAUCCCGGCAGUAUGCCGAUAUCUAUAAGCGAGCCAAUAGUUCCAAAACGUUGCUUCACAAUUACUCGGCAGUAUUUGUCUAUUUGAGCAGCACAUAGCUGGCUUCGGUGGGUAGCAUGGCAUGUCCAUUCUCAAUUGAAGUUGGUCUGAAAAUAUCGAACUCUGCCAUGAAAUAGAAAAGGUAGAACUUUCCUUCAUAUCGUUGAUUUUUCUUACUCUUCCUUUUGUGAAGCUGUGUAGCAUUCUUCCUUUUACUACCUGUAAUUUCUUUGUGUGUUGCAAUACAUGCAUGGAUCUAUUAAUUUAUCACUCCUAAUUAUUUAAUGUUGAAUUCCAAGAUCUGGUGAGUGGGAUAUGUACUAACGAGUUAUUUUGCAGAUAGCCACCGUCCAUAGCUCUCAUGUGAAUGUGGCAAGGCCACAAAACAAGUUUUCCAUUGCCGGAUAUCCAACAGAUCAACUGGUGUUAUGGAUUCUUCUUAUAGAUAUUUUUUUGCCAUUUCAAACAUCAAACACCAACUACUCACAAUGGAGACAGGAAACGUGUAGCUUCUGAUGUCAACUAAGUGAGCCUGCCAAUUGUGGCAAUGGAAGGAGGUGGCAUGUCGUCUCAUUCAUGAGGCUAUUAGUUUCAUAACAGACAUUUUCCAGUUGCAUGUCUCUUGUAAAGUGUUCAGACUGUUUUUUGAGCAAAGAAAUGAAAUUUCGAAGACUUUAUCUAAUUUUACUUUUUUCUGAUUGUAAUACUAAAUCAAUUUUUCACAUUUGUUUUCCCUUCGUAAUAGUCUUGCAGUUUGUAGAACAAUCCAAAGUAUGCAGGCCUUUCAAUUUUGCUAGAGACUAGAUGUAAUUGGCCAAAGAUAC
This 2405-nucleotide long non-coding RNA is filed under the name Triticum aestivum (bread wheat). Its description in RNAcentral is "long non-coding RNA (TAES_LNC020900)". The record is from RNAcentral. Lineage: Eukaryota; Viridiplantae; Streptophyta; Magnoliopsida; Poales; Poaceae.